Molecule: ribosomal RNA, 676 nt
Filed under: uncultured bacterium
Lineage: Bacteria
Description: bacterial SSU rRNA
Rfam family: Bacterial small subunit ribosomal RNA
Source: RNAcentral
AGAGUUUGAUCCUGGCUCAGGACGAACGCUGGCGGUGUGCUUCACACAUGCAAGUCGAGCGAAUGAAGUAGGUAGCUUGCUACUUAUGGAUUUAGCGGCGGACGGGUGAGUAAUAUAUAGGAAUCUGCCUUAGAGCGGGGAACAACAGACCGAAAGGUUUGCUAAUGCCCCAUAGGUAUGCAGUCUUCGGAUUGUAUAUUAAAGGAGUAAUCCACUCUAAGAUGAGCCUGUAUCCGAUUAGCUAGUUGGCGGGGUAAAGGCCCACCAAGGCUACGAUCGGUAGUUGGUCUGAGAGGAUGAUCAGCCACAAUGGGACUGAGACACGGCCCAUACUCCUACGGGAGGCAGCAGUGGGGAAUUUUACACAAUGGGGGAAACCCUGAUGUAGCGACACCGCGUGAACGAAGAAGCCUUUUGGGGUGUAAAGUUCUGUCGGCUGGAACGAAAAAAAUGACGGUACCAGCAAAGGAAGCAUCGGCUAACUACGUGCCAGCAGCCGCGGUAAGACGUAGGAUGCAAGCGUUGUCCGGAUUUAUUGGGCGUAAAGAGUUCGUAGGCGGUCAUUUAAGUCUGGUGUUAAAUACUGUGGCCCAACCACAGAACUGCAUUGGAUACUGGAUGACUUGAGUGCGGUAGAGGCGAGUGGAAUUCCCAGUGUAGCGGUGAAAUGCGUAGA